This 1341-nucleotide ribosomal RNA is filed under the name marine metagenome. Its description in RNAcentral is "bacterial LSU rRNA". It matches the Rfam family "Bacterial large subunit ribosomal RNA", at positions 1091 to 2496 of the family's 2925-position model. The record is from RNAcentral.
AACCAGGAUGUUGGCUUAGAAGCAGCCAUUCAUUUAAAGAGUGCGUAACUGCUCACUGGUCAAGUGACUUUGCACCGAAAAUGUAACGGGGCUAAACUUGUUACCGAAACUGCGGAUUUUAGUAUUACUAGAGUGGUAGAGGAGCGUUCUAUUGUAGGACGAAGGUAGAUCGAAAGACUUACUGGACGAACUAGAAGUGACCAUGCCGGCAUGAGUAGCGAUAAAACAUGUGAGAAUCAUGUUCACCGAAAACCUAAGGUUUCCCAUGCGAGGCGAAUCCGCACGGGGUUAGUCGUAUCCUAAGGCGAGGCCGAAAGGCGUAGUCGAUGGCAAUCAGGUUUAUAUUCCUGAACCACCGGGUGAGUGUGAAACACAAAGAGACGCAAGUUUAAGGGCUGAAUAGGAGAUGGCUCCGAAGCGUCAAGGACCUUUUAUUUUACAAAAGGUUUCAGCUUGAUUUCUUGCCAAGAAAAUCUUUGUGUGGACGAACUUUGGUGUGCGUACCGUAAACCGACACAGGUAGGUGAGGAGAGAAUCCUAAGGUGCUCGAGAGAACUCUGGCUAAGGAACUCGGCAAAAUGAUCCCGUAACUUCGGAAGAAGGGAUGCUCGAAAGAGCCGCAGUGAAAUGGCCUAUGCGACUGUUUACUAAAAACACAGGUCUGUGCUAAAUCGUAAGAUGACGUAUACGGACUGACGCCUGCCCGGUGCCGAAAGGUUAUGGUGAGGGGUGAAGGAGUAAUCUGGAAGCUCUGAACCGAAGCCUCGGUAAACGGCGGCGGUAACUAUAACCGUCCUAAGGUAGCGAAAUUCCUCGUCGGGUAAAAUCCGACCUGCACGAAUGGCGUAACGACAUAGGCACUGUCUCGGCCAGAGACUCGGCGAAAUUGUAAUACCGGUGAAGAUGCCGGUUACCCAUAGAAAGACGGAAAGACCCCGUGAACCUUUACUAUAACCUGAUAUUGGGUUUUGGUGUAGCAUGUGUAGGAUAGGUGGGAGACUUUGAAGCUGGAGCGCUAGCCUCAGUGGAGUCGUCCUUGAAAUACCACUCUUGUUGCUCUGGAAUUCUAACUUUGGUUCGUGUAUCCGGAUCAAGAACAGUGUCAGGCGGGUAGUUUGACUGGGGCGGUCGCCUCCCAAAUCGUAACGGAGGCGUUCAAUGGUUCCCUCAGCGUGAUUGGAAACCACGCGUGAGUGCAAAGGCAUAAGGGAGCUUGACUGCGAGACAGACAUGUCGAGCAGGUACGAAAGUAGGACUUAGUGAUCUUGCGGUACUGUGUGGAAAGGCCGUAACUCAACGGAUAAAAGGUACUCCGGGGAUAACAGGCUUAUCGCGCCCAAG